RNAcentral lists this ribosomal RNA (496 nucleotides) under uncultured bacterium. RNAcentral describes it as "partial 16S ribosomal RNA". It matches the Rfam family "Bacterial small subunit ribosomal RNA", at positions 28 to 506 of the family's 1533-position model. The record is from RNAcentral.
GAUGAACGCUGGCGGCGUGCCUAAUACAUGCAAGUCGAGCGAACAGAUAAGGAGCUUGCUCCUUUGACGUUAGCGGCGGACGGGUGAGUAACACGUGGGUAACCUACCUAUAAGACUGGGAUAACUUCGGGAAACCGGAGCUAAUACCGGAUAACAUUUGGAACCGCAUGGUUCUAAAGUGAAAGAUGGUUUUGCUAUCACUUAUAGAUGGACCCGCGCCGUAUUAGCUAGUUGGUAAGGUAACGGCUUACCAAGGCAACGAUACGUAGCCGACCUGAGGGGGGAGCCGGCCCACUGGGAAUGAGACACCGGCCACAACCCCAAGGGGGGGCAAGAGGGGGGAUAUUUGCGGAAGGGGGCAAACCCGAACGGGGCAAACCCGGGGGGUGAAGAAAGGGUUUCGGUUGGAAAAACCUUUUUUUUAGGAAAAAAACAAUUGGGAAAUAACUGUGCAGGGUUUGACGGAACCAAAUAAAAAAACCACGGCUAACUACUG